Molecule: ribosomal RNA, 285 nt
Filed under: uncultured bacterium
Lineage: Bacteria
Description: partial 16S ribosomal RNA
Rfam family: Bacterial small subunit ribosomal RNA
Source: RNAcentral
AACGUGCCCAGUCGUGGGGGAUAACGUAGAGAAAUUUACGCUAAUACCGCAUACGAUCUAAGGAUGAAAGCGGGGGACUUCGCAAGAGGCCUCGCGCGAUUGGAGCGGCUGAUAUCAGAUUAGGUUGUUGGUGAGGUAAAAGCUCACCAAGCCGACGAUCUGUAGCUGGUUUGAGAGAACGACCAGCCACACUGGGACUGAGACACGGCCCAGACUCCUACGGGAGGCAGCAGUGGGGAAUUUUGGACAAUGGGCGAAAGCCUGAUCCAGCAAUGCCGCGUGCAG